GACCUAGGGCUGAGCUGGGCUGGGCUACCACGUAGGGGUGAAAACUCCUCCUCAGAGCGUCGUAUUAACCGUUUGGAAUGUUCCAUCGCCUGGCGUCCCCCGCCCGCACGGGUGUGGUACCGCCCUGAGGUGAAAGGGUUCCAGAUGAGGUGUGUGGUUCAUGGGUCAGUUCAUAACUCUGGUGUUAGUAACUCUGAAGUUCUACUGUAGCGUAAGUUACGAUUCUUAAUUCUUACAUUUUUACAUUUUUUAUUAUGUUAGAAAAUGAUGAAUAACGUAUUUCUAGAUGAUGAAUAUUUUUUUAAGUUGUGAUUUGUGUCAAACUAUUUUGAUAUAAUUCAAAUUCAGUGCAAAAUCUACAAAAAAGCUUUAAAAAAUAAUGCUUUUUUAUUAAAUAAAACUAGUUUAAAAGUGCUGGAUAAAUAAAAAAAGUUUAUCAAGAAGUUUCUCAGAAAAUGUUUUUCAUUUAAAGUUAACUGAUUUAUUAAAGGAAUUAGUAUCUGUAGUUAAUGAAUUGAUUCUUUCUGUUCACCAUAUCCUUCAAGAUUUUGGAACUAAUAGAUUUCACCCUCUGAUGUCUAAUUUUUAUUCAUAGAUUGGAAGAGGAAAACAAGCUCUCCUGUUUUUUCAACUUACAAUUGGUUUCUUAGCUUUGAAUGAACUAGUCAUUGAAUUAAACUAGUGGAAUAAGAUGAAAUGAAGAGAAUAUUCUCUCUGAACCUGCAGAAGAGAGGUUACUGCCAUCAAAAGUGGUUAGCACUUACCCAAAACUCUGUUUCUAGGCACUUAGCCAGUCAUUUCUACCAGUUCUGUGGUUUGCCUUUCUUUAAAACUUGGUAGCAAACAUGAACUUCUUUAAUAUUAGUGUGAUGUUGUACUUUAUAUGUUUAUGGAAAUAUGCUUAUGAGUGUAAAUAUAACAUAACUGGAAUAUGCUUUAUGCUAGAUAUGCCAUGUGACAUAUGGUCUACUGAAUAUAUUCAUCCUAUUUGUAUGCAUGUAUCAUUUUUAUAUCUAAAGUUAUGAGCGUUGGCUCUGUGCUUGUAUUUGAAGUGUUUGCUGUAGGAAACACAUAAGGGAGAUUUGGCCAACACUGUGAAAGGUCUAUUCAAGUAAUUGGGAGUACUUAACUACAGUGGACUUUGGGAGACACCAGUUCACAUCUGUUCAAACUAACCUGUAAACAGUGGUGUUGGCCUGCAAAAAGCUGAAUCAUUCAUGGACAUGUGACUUGCCCAGGAGGCUACAAACUCCAUCUUGUUGCUGUGAUUUUGCGGAAGAGCGAUGGGGUUUCUGCCCACAAGUGAGAGACUAUAAAAGGGCCUGGAAGACUUUCCAUUUGGUCUUUAGCUGGCUUAAGAGAUGGCCUCUCCACCCCAAAGAGGUGCCUGAAAGAAACUGGAACAAAGGGUGUGUGAGUGAUUGCUGGACCCAGACCAUAAACUACAACAUUGGGCUGAAAAGGAUUGUACCUGAGAUAACAUCUGGGGUGAGAAGUUAGUAUUUGUAACUAGAUCCUUAGUGUAUUAAGUUAGCCUUGCGUGUUUUGUUUUAUUUUGCUUGGUAAUUUACUUUGUUCUGUCUGUUAUUAAUUGAAACCACUUAAAUCCUACUUGUUGUACUCAAUAAAAUCACUUUGUUUAUUAAUUAA
Chelonia mydas (Green sea turtle) is the source of this 1650-nucleotide long non-coding RNA. RefSeq lists it as uncharacterized. The record is from RefSeq and is a predicted model, not a curated record. The transcript has 2 exons. Lineage: Eukaryota; Metazoa; Chordata; Testudines; Cheloniidae.